RNAcentral lists this ribosomal RNA (89 nucleotides) under Colletotrichum sublineola. The record is from RNAcentral. Lineage: Eukaryota; Fungi; Ascomycota; Sordariomycetes; Glomerellales; Glomerellaceae.
ACAUACGACCAUACCCACUGGACAACUCGGGAUCCCGUCCGCUCUCCCAUAGAUAAGCCAGUGAGGGCCGGAUUAGUAGUUGAGUCGGU